This is a long non-coding RNA of Bactrocera oleae (olive fruit fly), 979 nucleotides long. RefSeq lists it as uncharacterized. Lineage: Eukaryota; Metazoa; Arthropoda; Insecta; Diptera; Tephritidae. The record is from RefSeq and is a predicted model, not a curated record.
GCGGCAUACCUUACUCGUGCCUCGUUUGCUGCGCUUGUGAUGUUUCCGAUCAUUGAACAUUCGUCGGAAGUUCAUUUGCAUUUUGUAAUUUACCUGUAAUGUGUUUUAAUUAGAAGUGAAUUUAAAUUAUUAUGAGAAAAUAGCUAUGCAAUAUUUUCCAAGUGAAUGCAUUUUGUUGCAACGCUUGUGAACGAUAUUUAUAGUGGUGCAAGUUAACAUUUGCAGAGAUUUGUCAAAUUGCGUUUUUUGUUUUUUUGGAGUUUGGGUUAAACUUCUACUUUUAUUUGGUGACUUACCUGCGUAGACAAAUCUCUGUCGUCUACUGCGUGUCGGCUAUAACUAAGGCGGCGGUGCUGUAAAAUAAAAAUGCAAUUUACAAGCUCCUCGGCAAGCAGAUGGUGUAUUUUUGCAUCUGUAAGAUCCUUCUUCGACGGAUUGUAGUCCAACUCAUGCAUAUCAAGAUUUCGUGAGCAACUAUUGUCCAGAUUGGUAAGGCUUGGACUAAUUUAUAGAGAACGAACAAAAAUUUCAAAAUUUGUUUUAAGUUAUCAAAAAUUAAUAUUUUGAAUGUUUCAAAAGCAUGGAAAAGGCACUCAAUAUGUAUUUUGUUUUCAAAACCUGUAUUAAAAUUGUGUAAAAUAUUAAUUUAUUUUUAAAAAAAAUUAUUUAUUAUAUAAUCAUUUUUAAUGACUUAACUUACAAAAGCGUAAUAGAUAAGUGUUACCGUUAUUGAAAAUUGUUUAAAUUUAGUAAUAUAUGCUUAUUGCACUCGUACCUAAACCAUGCCUUUUGAAAAUCCAUAGUUUUAAUGAGAUGAAUUUGACAUAAGUAGGUAAAUAAUAUAGACAACCAAUAGGCAAUGUGUGAGGUGAAAGGAUAUCUUAAGUGUUCAACGUAAAGUUAAAGUUCAAGUAGUUCAUACAAUAUUUAUUCAAAAACAUAAUAAAGUAAACGAAUUUUAGUUACAGUGCAUAUUUUA